This is a long non-coding RNA of Mytilus californianus (California mussel), 2576 nucleotides long. RefSeq lists it as uncharacterized. The record is from RefSeq and is a predicted model, not a curated record. The transcript has 4 exons. Lineage: Eukaryota; Metazoa; Mollusca; Bivalvia; Mytilida; Mytilidae.
UGUAAACCUAUUUCGGGUUGAAACAAUCUCUAUGCAAAGGUUGUGACUGUUUGAAAAUUGAUUUAUUAUAAAACUCAUAAAAAUACAGAUCAAAAGUCAUCAUUAAUUUUGUAUUCGAAUGUUCCAAAGUCAAUCAAAGUCAUAUACAUGUAAAUGUUUACGUGCACUUGCAGAAGGUCGAUUUCUAUUCGACGCAGGUGACAUAUUAUUGCUGUAUUGUAUUCCUUUGCAUUAACCUUAUUGCUUUGUAAGUAUACGAAUUAUGCCUGCGUAACAAAAUACUUAUUCCUGAUAUUGUGUUUGUUUUAUAACAUUUAUUUUUAUAAAAUAAAUACCAUUUAUGCAAAAUAGUUUUAUGACAAAUACAGUUUUAAUGUUUCAUUAAUGAAUAUGUUGACACUUAUUAAACUCAUCAUAGAUACCAGGAUUGACAUUUUGUACGGCAGACGCGCGUUUCGUCUAUAAAAGACUCAACAGUGGCGCUCGAAUGAAAAAAGAGUUUAGAAAAAUGUGUAGUAAUAUUUAACCAGUUAUCUUAUAUUUGAACGGCUGUAUGUUUACUGACUGUCAAUGGUGAGUAGGAUUUUUUUCUAUCUUAAACAAUUUGUUAAAUCUGCACAAAUGCCUAUGACAAGUAAGAAAACCUUAUCUAUGCAGAUACACUCAAAACGGACAAUACGUCAAGGGACAAAGCGUUCCAUACUGUGCAUGCAUUAGCUGUCAUAUGCAGGCGAAUCUACAUUCAAUCAAAAUACGACGCUAUGUCUCGAUAUCAUACGACUUUUGAUGUAACUAAGACUAGUAACUUAGAUUUAGUGAGUUGAAAAAGAUGAAAGAUAAUAUAGUGUUUUACAUCAACUUUCCCCUAUUGAACAAUGGGGGGAAAAAGAUUUAAGGAAACUAUAUUUGAUCUGAACAGCACUUUACAGAACGAGGAAAAACACAAUACGUCAUUUAAAGUCUUACAUUAAAAUUUCAGACUUUUCCUCCGCUACAAACUUAGUACUAUUCACACAAUUUGCUGGCAGCUAGGCAAUACUGAUCUGUUUCGUCAAUGAUCAGACUGUUUUUAUCUGUAAAAACACAACAACAUAUUCAAUUAUAUCAUCGAGAUUGAACAAAUGCAAAAGUUAUGAACAGUAAUGAAUGAACAGACAAACACAAACUUCCAGAACAAAACUUGACGUUUGCCAGUUUUGUUGAGAUCGAAACGGUCAUUCAAGAUUUAAAUUCACUUAAAAAUGAAUAUCCUUUAAGUGUAGUUCUUUAAACAUAUACCAUAGAACAUGACAAUACACUGUUAAAAAAGAGCAGCGUUCCAAUGAAAGUGUCUCCAUUAUUCGACAUGGUAAAUCACGGUGCAGUUAUUUACAUAAUUGCUGUUGUUUUGUUUUAUAUGAUUUAAUUUGAUUGUAAUUAUAGGAUAGACACCAUUGGCCAGUAAAUCAGUAAUGUCUUACUUAAAGUAAACUAUAGUAAUGAUUAUGAUACAAACGUAGACAUGCAGUAUUAAAAAGGAAUGCGUAGUACAUCUUUGAUCAACUGAAAAUGGAUAUCAAAAAUAGAAAUAAAGGAAAGACACCAUUGGACAGUAAAUCAGUAAUGUCUUACUUAAAGUAAGCUAAAUGAUUAUGAUACAAAACUAGGCAUGCAAUAUUAACAAGGGAUGCGUGGUUCAUCUUUGAUCAACUGAAAAUGGAUAUAAAAAAAUCGAAAUGAAGGUUCUUUUUGGUCAUACAGCUUCUCUAGAAUUUGUAUAUUCUAGGCUUUCACCCGUCUGGUUUAAUGGUAUUUAAAAAAAAGGAUGACUAAGGAUGGUUUAAAAAAUCCUUUUCAGUCAUAUAGCUCCAGGACUAUAAGAACCAAUAGCUACCAUCGUUUAGUGUAGAGCAUUCCUCAUCAAGAACAAAUUCCGCAAUAAAGGAUGGAACUGCUGUUUAUUUCCGGUUAGUUUUGGAGAAGAUGUCAAAGAAAAUACGUCAAGAUAAAAAAUCUUCGUAAAAGAAGCAGCUAAUUAUAUAAUAUCAAGUCAAAAGUGGAGAUCACCUGAGAACUCAAGACUUAAAUACGAUAAAUGUUACAAAUAAAAUAGCAUGUUUUUUUUAGAUCUAAUUUACUAAACAACAUGUUCAUAUAUUUUCUUGCAAAUAAACUUGCGAACAAUACCAAUAUCAAAACAAUGUAUUUUGUCUGAUCCUUUGUCAUACAAUAUCUUGACAUACUGCUACAACAGUGAGAUGAUUUAAGUUAUUUUUUGCUAGCAGGCUGGUUCCAUGUUUUAAGUUUAGAAUUCCAUCGGUAGUCUCAUACCACAUAAGAAAGUUUUCGAUAUUUAAAGAACUGACAGGUUAUUGCAGAUUGUUGUAUUGUGUCUGUGAUAGAAACAAACGGUUUAUUUUUAUGUAACUAUGUGAUUCGGUGUCAGGACAAACAUCGGAAACGUAAAGAUACUGAGUCUGAAUUAUAUGCUUAGAAAAUAUCAACAUUAGUUUUAAUUUCAUUCAUGAAGCAACACAUUUAUUUACCAUUGCAUAUUGUUUUUGAUACUUUUUAUAAUAAGCAUAUUGCAAAUUUUA